UAGACGUUCCACCAUGGAUUGCAUGGCGUCGAACCUCUUGGAAAACAUCUGCUCCAGAAGGGCGGUUAUGGAAGACUCGGCUGCCGUCUUCUCGGGUUCUUCUUUCUCGGGUUCAGGUUCAGAAUCACUUUCCUCUAGGUCAUGGAUCUGGUGAUCCUCGAUCCCUUCCCGUGUUGCCCUGACCGCUCCGGAUGCAGAAAUCGCGUUAGUGGUGCCUUCUCCGGUGUUGGGAGUGCUCAGGUUUCCCAUAGGUCGAACCCGAG
Molecule: long non-coding RNA, 263 nt
Filed under: Brassica rapa (field mustard)
Lineage: Eukaryota; Viridiplantae; Streptophyta; Magnoliopsida; Brassicales; Brassicaceae
Description: long non-coding RNA (BRAP_LNC002411)
Source: RNAcentral